UUUCAUUGUGUAUUUUUGCUCUCAAGCAUUUUCCAUGAUCUGUGUGUGGAUUUAUUGCCUGCAUUGGAUGACAAAGUCUUGAGUAUUGCUGCUAAG
This 96-nucleotide small RNA is filed under the name Pan troglodytes (chimpanzee). RNAcentral describes it as "retained intron". Lineage: Eukaryota; Metazoa; Chordata; Mammalia; Primates; Hominidae. The record is from RNAcentral.